CGGAGUAUAUUCUUAUUUCAAAUACACAUAUACAAAUAUCUUGAAUCAUUCAUAUUAUUGUGUACAAUAUUGUCAUUUUUACAGUUCCUCAUAAAACGAAUUAUUAAUAAUAUUUUUACCGAUUUACCAUAUAGUCGCCUUAGUAUUUCUUUGGCCUACAGACCAUUUCAUAACAACAUCCAGUCUUAUUAAAUAAUUUUAAAAUUGGAACAUAUUAUUUUCACGCAGAUCUGAAGAGUCUAUCUUGUUUUUACGACGACAAUCACAAAUGAGGUCAUGUAUGUCCAUAUACAUAUAUUAUGUGCCAUACGCUGCAUUACAUGCAUGAAUUAACGCAAUACAAUAACGGUUGAAAACCUGGCGCACCGAGCAGAUAUACUAGAGCACCAAAAAGGUGAGAAGUACGCCCAGAUAGCACACUAUUCCAGAGGCCGACUAUCAUUCGUCUGCCAAAAGUCGACGUUUU
This is a long non-coding RNA of Neodiprion virginianus, 466 nucleotides long. RefSeq lists it as uncharacterized. The record is from RefSeq and is a predicted model, not a curated record. Lineage: Eukaryota; Metazoa; Arthropoda; Insecta; Hymenoptera; Diprionidae. The transcript is spliced from 2 exons.